This is a long non-coding RNA of Temnothorax curvispinosus, 888 nucleotides long. RefSeq lists it as uncharacterized. The transcript has 3 exons. The record is from RefSeq and is a predicted model, not a curated record. NCBI's taxonomy places the organism in Eukaryota, Metazoa, Arthropoda, Insecta, Hymenoptera, Formicidae.
UUCCGAAAGCAGCCUAGCAUGUUGAUAAAGGCCUUUACACACAAAAUGCCGUAAGAACGUAAAACGUAAGCUUAAGAAAAUCGAUCAAUAUCCCAAUCGAGUAUUUUCCCCUAUUGGGGUUUUACGGACAUCAGUACAAUACUUGAUUGGAGUUGGUCGGGUUUCUUACGUACGCUUACGUUUUACGUCCUUACGCGAUUUUAUGUGUAAAGGCCUUAAAGCCCGGUCUACAUAGGCCGCAGUUCGCAAAACGCAAGACACACGCACAGUCUACAUGUCAAUCUAACCUCUCUGUGUAUAGAGGUUAGAUUGACAUGUAGACUGUGCGUGUGUCCACGUGUGUCUUGCUGGGACUCUUGAGCGGCAUGGUUAUGUUCCGAGUUUCUUGUGGAAAAUUGAGAUUUUGUGAAAAAUUGUUGACCCGCGUUCACGCCUUCCUUUUGUCACACCUCUCUGUUUAAAAAAGAGGAAGAAGAAAAAGAAGUGCAUGGAGGGGUAGUAAAUUAUAACGAAUACUUAUAUGUGUAAAUCGACAACUAUUAGUGAUGGAUGGCAGUGUAGUAAUGGAUGAAUACUAUAAUAAUGCGCCUUAAUUGCUUCUAAACAAGAAUAAUUUUCUGAAACUGAUUAAUCUAUAAACAAGAAAGAAAUAAAAUUCUUAUCAGCGUCCGCAGCACUAAAAAAAUUAAUAAACGGGAAGGUUUAUUAUCAGAUGUACUUAACAACUCGGUUUCUAAAAUAGUUUUCUGGAUUAGACGUUUAGACAUUUGUAUUAAAGCUCCUUUCGGACCAGUUAAUUUCUGCUUUAGCACAAAAAUUCCAUUUUCAUAAGGGAAAGCAGAAGUCGAAGAGAGUGGGCCACUUUUAUAUACGUUAUCAACAACAUGA